AAAAAAAAAAAAAAAAACGGCGACUUCAACGGCACCCUCCCCAAAUCACGCGAAAUCUUUCUCUUCAUCUUAUCUUUGAAUUUUACAGGACUAGAGCCAUCAAUGUUGACCUUGGCUCAAGAUUGCGUGUCCUAUAACCUCAAAAUUCAAUCCGAAUCCAAAUUUAGGAGAUAUGUUUUGAUCCCUUUUUGAAUUCUUUUCAAAUCCCCAAUUACCCUCUGCCACAAAGGG
This 231-nucleotide long non-coding RNA is filed under the name Capsicum annuum. RNAcentral's name for it is "long non-coding RNA (CANN_LNC003617)". Lineage: Eukaryota; Viridiplantae; Streptophyta; Magnoliopsida; Solanales; Solanaceae. The record is from RNAcentral.